AGCAGUAGCCGCGGUAAUACGAAGGGUGCAAGCGUUAAUCGGAAUUACUGGGCGUAAAGCGCACGUAGGCGGAUCGAUCAGUCAGGGGUGAAAUCCCAGAGCUCAACUCUGGAACUGCCUUUGAUACUGUCGAUCUGGAGUAUGGAAGAGGUGAGUGGAAUUCCGAGUGUAGAGGUGAAAUUCGUAGAUAUUCGGAGGAACACCAGUGGCGAAGGCGGCUCACUGGUCCAUUACUGACGCUGAGGUGCGAAAGCGUGGGGAGCAAACAGGAUUAGAUACCCCAGUAGUCCCUGUCUCUUAUAC
RNAcentral lists this ribosomal RNA (303 nucleotides) under uncultured bacterium. Its description in RNAcentral is "partial 16S ribosomal RNA". It matches the Rfam family "Bacterial small subunit ribosomal RNA", at positions 507 to 807 of the family's 1533-position model. The record is from RNAcentral.